AGCCGCUCCACCUCGUUCUCUAUCAGGCGCGCGCGCGCACACACACACGCACACGGGCUCUUGGCUCGCGCUGAAUGAACAGCGCUCGGUUCGCAAAAGUCAGUCACAAGUAUAAGCGCAGGGGGGCGGGGUGCCGUCGAGAGAGGCGCUGAGGAGACGCCUGCGAAGGCCGCCAGCUCGGGAGAGCGCCUUGGCCGACGCCUGCGCUGCUCAUAGGGCCGCUGCUGAGAGCCAGACAGAAAGCGACCGUCAAAUGGAGUGACAAUCAGCACAUAAAGGUGUAUGAAACUUCCAUUCUAGAGAAAGCUGGUGUUCCACGGUGACCAACGUUGUAAUCCCAUGCAUGUCUGCUCAGAAGUAAGUCCCAUUGAAUUGCGUGGGACUUAUUCCCAUAUGGAGCUUCUUCAGGUCUGCAGAAGUUUGACUCUACCAAAUGGAACAACAUUUUCUGCUGCUGGGGCUAGAUUUUGGAUCAAGUAUAUUGGAAAACAACAACAAGCAAACCAGUGUUUGCAUGGAUUUAGAUAUUCAUUGGGAAAGCAAACAAAUAAAUCUGGAUGGCAGUCAAAACAAAAUAUGCUUUAAUCCAGGAACUUGUAUGUGCAGUACUGUGUGAAAAUAUCUGUCUUCACCUUCCUGACAAGCAGAUGCCCAAGGGCAAGCUCGGGCACCAGCAUCAGUGGCCUACUUAAGAGGGGGAGAGAAUAUUGCAUUUAGUCUCCCAUAAGCCUCCCCCCCCUCAAAAAAAAAGAUAGUUGGUGCUUUCAAAGUAUAUGAGUCCAACCAUCUCCCCGGGACUCUUUCACAGCCCUUAUUCAAAGUGUUGGUGCUGACCUUUAAAGCCCUAAACGGCCUCGGCCCAGUAUACCUGAAGGAGCAUCUCCAUUCCAAUCGUUCAGCCCAGAUACUGAGGUCCAGCUCCGAGGGCCUUCUGGCGGUUCCCUCCGUGUGAUAAGUGAGGUUAUAGGGAACCAGGCAGAGGGCCUUCUCAGUAGUGGCACCCGCCCUGUGGAAUGCCCUCCCAUCAGAUGUCAAGGAAAUAAACAAUUACCUAACUUUUAGAAGACAUCUGAAGGCAGCCCUGUUUAGGGAAGUUUUUAAUGUUUGAUGUUUUAUUGCUGCUUUAUUAUUAAUAAUAAUAUUCUGUUGGGAGCCGCCCAGCCAGAUGGGUGGGGUAUAAAUUAUUAUUAUUAUUAUUAUUAUUAUUAUUAUUAUUAUUAUUAUUAAACAAGAACUGAUCAGGAAGCUGUCUUGUUACCAAGUCAGCCCAUUAGUCCACCUAGCUUACUACUGUCCAACUCUAAACUGAUACAACUCUAAACUGAUACAAAAGGCUCCAGCUUCCAGGGGCAUAGCGUGGGGGGCAGGGGACUGUAGACCCGGGAAGACAAUUUUGAGGGGGCGCGAACCAGGUGCCCCCAUGCAGGAAUCCCAAUCCUACGCUGCCUGCUGCCGGGGGUCUUGACUUAAUUGUUUUCAUUUCAAUCAGUAUUUCCAGAUGCUAUUCAUUUGGUCUGCACGCCUUCACACAUGCACACAUGCUCAAACCAGAAAUAGAACUGUUUUGGUGUGGGUUGCAACAAACAUAUUGUGCAUCUUUUCUGCCCUGUUUAGAUUGGGCUCCUUGUUGAACUUGAAAUACUAGCUAUAAUCACCUUCAAAGAAAGCCCUCCCUCUGCUCAAAAUAAAGGAGUGGAAAUCAUCUUAUAAAGACAGCAUCACAUGAGAACUGGGCUUGACUCCUAUGUCAACGUGAUGAGGAUCAAAAUACAAGACUGCAUCCGUGUUUGUGAACGACAUAAGCAUCUGAAGGCAAGCACAAUUGUCCUCAUUAUGCAGCCUCCCAGCCGUCCCCUAUGCUGAUGCUUGAUAUCUCACCAUAUUUUCAUAUUCAAACAAAACACUUGGGGAGGCGUGCGGGGAGUGCUUGCCCAUUGCACGAGCAUCCACAGAUGAGAGCGCGAUUGAGAAAUGUGCCUUAUUCUGCGCCCAUUGCAGCCAAUCCCACUGCUCAAAGCAAUAACUUAGAGGGAAUGAACAAAUAUGUUUCGAGGAGAUGGAAUUUGUUUCAUUAGCAAUGUUUACAUUAAAUUAAAUUUUAGCAAGAGGAGUCAUUUGCAAUAUUGGCAUCCCUGUUUUUUAAAAAAAGAAAACUGCCUGGAACACGUGGAAAUUGUCAACCAACCGGAAAGCUGCUUUUCAUAUUUUGUUAUGCAGCAUUUUUUAAAAAAGUAAAAUAAAAUAAUGGACUAUAUUUUAUUCUGAAAUGGAGUAAAAAAUACAGUCAGCAAAAACAGAUCCACACACAAGACAAUAUAAGAAGAUCACAAAAUGAAGAAAGGAAGACAUCAGUUACAACCAUCCAUAGUAUGCCAUGCUUGGGAGAGAAACAGCUCACCAAAUACGGGUUGUGGCCAACUAAGUUUCACUCAGAGUAAGCCCAUUGAAAUAAAUAGGCUGCAAUUCGUCCAUUAAUUGCAAUGGGCUCUAUUCUGAGUAAGACCAAUGUGGGUUAUAACCUUGUAUCAUAUAAGGGAGUGAAAGAUCAUGAUAAUUAAUAUUGUUGUGCAGUGCUUUAUUAAUUUAAUAAAAAUUUUUAGAAAAUGCCAUUGCAACGCACUUCAUCCCAAAUAUUCUUUCUGUCUUCUGUUUGUAGUGAUCUUCAUAUUUUUGUUAUGCUUUAUUAUUAUUUCUAGGAGUCAUUCUGUAAUAUCUCCUUGCCUUAUUUUUAUGUCCUAUAAUCUUUUUGUUAAAAUGUAAGGCUAUAUUUGAAAAAUUAGAGAAAAGCUGGGUUUUUUAAUUAAAUAAAAUUUCAAAUAUAAUCAGUUUAUUAGAUCAUUUGUCUGUUUGUGGUUGCCCGUUCUUUUCUUUUCUUUUCGAAACAAACUUCAUACUGUAACAGUAACUGUACAGGUUCCAAUGAAGAUGUAGAGUUAUAUUAAAGAAACUUUGAUUACAAA
Long non-coding RNA from Podarcis raffonei (Aeolian wall lizard), 2960 nucleotides. RefSeq lists it as uncharacterized. The transcript has 4 exons. The record is from RefSeq and is a predicted model, not a curated record. Lineage: Eukaryota; Metazoa; Chordata; Lepidosauria; Squamata; Lacertidae.